This 1210-nucleotide long non-coding RNA is filed under the name Oryctolagus cuniculus (rabbit). RNAcentral's name for it is "lncRNA (ENSOCUG00000037563.1)". The record is from RNAcentral. Lineage: Eukaryota; Metazoa; Chordata; Mammalia; Lagomorpha; Leporidae.
AUUUGAAAGGCCAGUGACAAAGGAAGAGGAAGUCAUACAGAGAAAUCUUUCAUCCACUGGUUCACUCUCCAAAUGGCGGCAAUAGCCAUGUCUGGGUGAGGCCAAAACUAGCCAGGAACUCCAUCCUGGUCUCACAUGAGUAGCAGGUGCCCAAGUACUUGAGAUAUCUUAUUCUGUCUUUCUAGCAGCAUUAGCAGGAAGCUGGUUUGGAAUCUGAACAGAUGGGACUUGAAUGUGUACCAUGAUUUGGGAUGCUGGCCCUACAAGUGGCAGCCUAACCCACUAUGCCACAACAUUGGCCCCUCAAGUAUUUCUAUAUUAUUUUUUUCUGUAGUCAUAAUCUUUGCUGAAAUCUCCCAUCUGAUCUUCCAUGUUGUCAGUCUUUUCCAUUAGAACUUUUGGUAUGUUAAUUUAGGUAUUUUUGAUAUGUGUGUCAUUUAUGAAUCUGACAUUGAUUGCUUUGUUCUUUGGGAGUAUUUUUUCUUCCUUUUUGUAUGUAAUCCAUUUUUGAUUAAAAGCAAAUAUCUUUUUCAGUAAUGUCUAGACUGAGAUAAAUAUUCUCCAGCCCUGGAAAAUGGCAAACCCUGUCCCAGGAGUUAGUGUGGGGUUUAAUGGUCAGGAGUGGGUUGGACUUAAGGUUGAUAGUUUCUGUGGUUACCCUCAGGGCACCAUCAGCUUCAAAUUCCUCUAAUUAUAUGUUUAUGUUUGGAGUGAGGUUGAUUUGCCAAAGCCAUGUCUUCUAGACCUUCAGCUGCAGGUUUCAAUCUAUGUUUUUCCACAAAAGAGUUUCUUUGCCAGCUCUCUUGCACCUCCCCAGCCGUGUUCUGCUAUAGCCAUUCAGAGUUAUCAGCUGGGCUGCAUGGACAACCGGAGGAACAUUGUCUAUUUGUACCAAAAGUGGAUACACCUACAGAAGGGAGAGAAGCUGCUGAAGUCUCAGUGCUGCGGAAAGUGAUUGUGAUAAUGCAUUUAGCUUCUUGCAACGCCAGAAAGACACAGUGGAGUACUGCAGCUGCAUCAUCCAUGACGACUUUGUUUUCCCUCAUUAGUGGCUACUUUUGAGUUCUCCCCAGAACACAUCUGUCUUUGCUGCACUUUUUUCAUUUCAUAUUCUUCGAGCUGAGGUAUUACAGGUAUGUGUGGCACAAACUCCAGAUAAAUUCACAUACAUAUUAAAAGAGUGGUAGGAAUAAAAUGGAUGUGUUCUGCA